ACGCGAAGCUCCCUUCGGGGAGCAAGUAGAGUGGCGCACGGGUGAGUAACACGUAGGUAAUCUACCUUUGGAUUGGGAAUAACCACCGGAAACGGUGGCUAAUACCGAAUAAUGCAGCGGCACCUAAUGGUGACAGUUGUUAAAGCGGGGGAUCGCAAGACCUCGCGUCUGAAGAGGAGCCUGCGGCGGAUUAGCUAGUUGGUAAGGUAACGGCUUACCAAGGCGAUGAUCCGUAGCCGGCCUGAGAGGGCGGUCGGCCACACUGACACUGACAUACGGGUCAGACUCCUACGGGAGGCAGCAGUCGGGAAUUUUGGGCAAUGGGCGAAAGCCUGACCCAGCAACGCCGCGUGAAGGAUGAAAUCCCUCGGGAUGUAAACUUCGCAAGAACGGGAAGAAUAAGUGAGAGUUAAUAUCUCUCACGAUGACGGUACCGUUUGUAAGCCCCGGCUAACUCCGUGCCAGCAGCCGCGGUAAUACGGGGGGAGCAAGCGUUG
RNAcentral lists this ribosomal RNA (497 nucleotides) under uncultured bacterium. RNAcentral's name for it is "bacterial SSU rRNA". It matches the Rfam family "Bacterial small subunit ribosomal RNA", at positions 66 to 543 of the family's 1533-position model. The record is from RNAcentral.